GACGAACGCUGGCGGCGUGCUUAACACAUGCAAGUCGAACGAUGACGACCGAGCUUGCUCGGUCUGAUUAGUGGCGAACGGGUGAGUAACACGUGAGCAACCUGCCCUUCACUCUGGGAUAACCUCGGGAAAUCGGGGCUAAUACCGGAUAUGAGCUCCUGUCGCAUGGCGGGUGUUGGAAAGUUUUUCGGUGAAGGAUGGGCUCGCGGCCUAUCAGUUUGUUGGUGAGGUAGUGGCUCACCAAGGCGAUGACGGGUAGCCGGCCUGAGAGGGCGACCGGCCACACUGGGACUGAGACACGGCCCAGACUCCUACGGGAGGCAGCAGUGGGGAAUAUUGCACAAUGGGCGAAAGCCUGAUGCAGCGACGCCGCGUGAGGGAUGACGGCCUUCGGGUUGUAAACCUCUUUCAGCAGGGAAGAAGCGAAAGUGACGGUACCUGCAGAACAAGCGCCGGCUAACUACGUG
RNAcentral lists this ribosomal RNA (467 nucleotides) under uncultured bacterium. RNAcentral describes it as "partial 16S ribosomal RNA". It matches the Rfam family "Bacterial small subunit ribosomal RNA", at positions 28 to 507 of the family's 1533-position model. The record is from RNAcentral.